RNAcentral lists this ribosomal RNA (253 nucleotides) under uncultured bacterium. RNAcentral describes it as "partial 16S ribosomal RNA". It matches the Rfam family "Bacterial small subunit ribosomal RNA", at positions 524 to 776 of the family's 1533-position model. The record is from RNAcentral.
UACGUAGGGUGCAAGCGUUGUCCGGAAUUAUUGGGCGUAAAGGGCGCGUAGGCGGUCGGAUAAGUCUUGUGUGAAAUCUUCGGGCUCAACUCGAAGUCUGCACAGGAAACUAUCUGGCUUGAGUGUGGGAGAGGUGAGUGGAAUUCCUGGUGUAGCGGUGAAAUGCGUAGAUAUCAGGAGGAACACCUGUGGCGAAAGCGGCUCACUGGACCACAACUGACGCUGAGGCGCGAAAGCUAGGGGAGCAAACAGG